This is a long non-coding RNA of Bufo bufo (common toad), 469 nucleotides long. RefSeq lists it as uncharacterized. NCBI's taxonomy places the organism in Eukaryota, Metazoa, Chordata, Amphibia, Anura, Bufonidae. The record is from RefSeq and is a predicted model, not a curated record. The transcript is spliced from 4 exons.
CUGACUCCUGUACAUGGUGGUAGAAAUAAAAACCCCGGAUGCUCCUGGAGAAGGAUUGUCAGAGGAAGAGGAGGACACGGCCCGUCCAGGUUCCUACAAUAUAGGAUUCUCUCAGUGGAUAUCUUCUAUAUGACAUAAAUCUCUUGAUUGACCCGUCAAGGAUGGAUAGGGACAAGAUGGCGCAGAGUAUAAUAAAUCUCACCCUAGAGAUCCUCUUCCGGCUUACUGGAGAGGACUACACAGUAGUGAAGAAGACAUCUGGUGAGCGCUGUCAGGCCCCUGUGUCUGAAGGAUGGGGAAGAACCCUGAGCUCAAUCACGGGGUCUCCACCUCACCUCCUGAUACAUGAGGAAAUCAAUAGAGAGAAGAUCCUAGAACUCACCAACAAGAUGAUUGAGCUGCUGACUGGAGAGGUUCCUAUAAGGUGUCAGGAUGUCACUGUCUAUUUCUCCAUGGAGGAGUGGGAGUA